GACGAACGCUGGCGGCGUGCCUAAUACAUGCAAGUAGAACGCUGAAGAGAGGAGCUUGCUCUUCUUGGAUGAGUUGCGAACGGGUGAGUAACGCGUAGGUAACCUGCCUUGUAGCGGGGGAUAACUAUUGGAAACGAUAGCUAAUACCGCAUAACAAUGGAUGACACAUGUCAUUUAUUUGAAAGGGGCAAUUGCUCCACUACAAGAUGGACCUGCGUUGUAUUAGCUAGUAGGUGAGGUAACGGCUCACCUAGGCGACGAUACAUAGCCGACCUGAGAGGGUGAUCGGCCACACUGGGACUGAGACACGGCCCAGACUCCUACGGGAGGCAGCAGUAGGGAAUCUUCGGCAAUGGGGGCAACCCUGACCGAGCAACGCCGCGUGAGUGAAGAAGGUUUUCGGAUCGUAAAGCUCUGUUGUAAGUCAAGAACGAGUGUGAGAGUGGAAAAUUCACACUGUGACGGUAGCUUACCAGAAAGGGACGGCUAACUACGUGCCAGCAGCCGCGGUAAUACGUAGGUCCCGAGCGUUGUCCGGAUUUAUUGGGCGUAAAGCGAGCGCAGGCGGUUUGAUAAGUCUGAAGUUAAAGGCUGUGGCUCAACCAUAGUUCGCUUUGGAAACUGUCAAACUUGAGUGCAGAAGGGGAGAGUGGAAUUCCAUGUGUAGCGGUGAAAUGCGUAGAUAUAUGGAGGAACACCGGUGGCGAAAGCGGCUCUCUGGUCUGUAACUGACGCUGGGGCUCGAAAGCGUGGGGAGCGAACAGGAUUAGAUACCCUGGUAGUCCACGCCGUAAACGAUGAGUGCUAGGUGUUGGAUCCUUUCCGGGAUUCAGUGCCGCAGCUAACGCAUUAAGCACUCCGCCUGGGGAGUACGACCGCAAGGUUGAAACUCAAAGGAAUUGACGGGGGCCCGCACAAGCGGUGGAGCAUGUGGUUUAAUUCGAAGCAACGCGAAGAACCUUACCAGGUCUUGACAUCCCGAUGCUAUUUCUAGAGAUAGAAAGUUACUUCGGUACAUCGGUGACAGGUGGUGCAUGGUUGUCGUCAGCUCGUGUCGUGAGAUGUUGGGUUAAGUCCCGCAACGAGCGCAACCCCUAUUGUUAGUUGCCAUCAUUCAGUUGGGCACUCUAGCGAGACUGCCGGUAAUAAACCGGAGGAAGGUGGGGAUGACGUCAAAUCAUCAUGCCCCUUAUGACCUGGGCUACACACGUGCUACAAUGGUUGGUACAACGAGUUGCGAGUCGGUGACGGCAAGCUAAUCUCUUAAAGCCAAUCUCAGUUCGGAUUGUAGGCUGCAACUCGCCUACAUGAAGUCGGAAUCGCUAGUAAUCGCGGAUCAGCACGCCGCGGUGAAUACGUUCCCGGGCCU
Molecule: ribosomal RNA, 1369 nt
Filed under: uncultured bacterium
Lineage: Bacteria
Description: bacterial SSU rRNA
Rfam family: Bacterial small subunit ribosomal RNA
Source: RNAcentral